Molecule: non-coding RNA, 72 nt
Organism: Ictidomys tridecemlineatus (thirteen-lined ground squirrel)
Lineage: Eukaryota; Metazoa; Chordata; Mammalia; Rodentia; Sciuridae
Source: Rfam
GGGGUUGUAGCUCAGUGGUACAGCGCUUGCUUUGCAAGUGUGACGUACUGGGUUCAAUCCUCAGCAACACAU